RNAcentral lists this ribosomal RNA (383 nucleotides) under uncultured eukaryote. Its description in RNAcentral is "partial 18S ribosomal RNA". It matches the Rfam family "Eukaryotic small subunit ribosomal RNA", at positions 592 to 976 of the family's 1831-position model. The record is from RNAcentral.
CAAUAGCGUAUAUUAAAGUUGUUGCAGUUAAAAAGCUCGUAGUUGGAUUUCUGGUGGGAGCGAUCGGUCUGGCGCUUAGCGCGAGUACUUGCAUCGUCUCCGGCCACCCUUGGGGAGAGUCUGUCUGGCAUUAGGUUGUCGGGCAGAGGAUCCUCAUCGUUUACUGUGAAAAAAUUAGAGUGUUCAAAGCAGGCUUAUGCCGUUGAAUAUAUUAGCAUGGAAUAAUAAGAUAGGACUUUGGUACUAUUUUGUUGGUUUGCGCACCAAAGUAAUGAUUAAUGGGGACAGUUGGGGGUAUUCGUAUUCCGUUGUCAGAGGUGAAAUUCUUGGAUUUACGGAAGACGAACUACUGCGAAAGCAUUUACCAAGGAUGUUUUCAUUAA